GGGCGGUUAGCUCAGUUGGGAGAGCGCCAGAAUCGCACUCUGGAGGUCGGGGGUUCGACUCCCCUACCGUCCACCA
This 76-nucleotide transfer RNA is filed under the name Nitrospirota bacterium. Its description in RNAcentral is "Nitrospirae bacterium (hydrothermal vent metagenome) tRNA-Ala". It matches the Rfam family "tRNA". Rfam says of the family: Transfer RNA (tRNA) molecules are approximately 80 nucleotides in length. Their secondary structure includes four short double-helical elements and three loops (D, anti-codon, and T loops). Lineage: Bacteria; Pseudomonadati; Nitrospirota. RNAcentral also lists the same sequence under 1 other name. The record is from RNAcentral.